Molecule: ribosomal RNA, 441 nt
Filed under: uncultured bacterium
Lineage: Bacteria
Description: bacterial SSU rRNA
Rfam family: Bacterial small subunit ribosomal RNA
Source: RNAcentral
GCACAAUGGGCGCAAGCCUGAUGCGAGCCAUGCCGCGUGUAUGAAGAAGGCCUUCGGGUUGUAAAGUACUUUCAGCAGUGAGGAAGGUGGAUAUGUUAAUAGCAUAUUCAUUUGACGUUAGCUGCAGAAGAAGCACCGGCUAACUCCGUGCCAGCAGCCGCGGUAAUACGGAGGGUGCGAGCGUUAAUCGGAAUUACUGGGCGUAAAGCGCAUGCAGGUGGUUUGUUAAGUCAGAUGUGAAAGCCCGGGGCUCAACCUCGGAAUUGCAUUUUGAAAACUGGCAAACUAGAGUACUGUAGAGGGGGUAGGAAUUUCAGGUGUAGCGGUGAAAUAGCGUAGAGAUCUGAAGGAAUACCGGUGGCGAAGGCGGCCCCCUGGACCAGAUACUGACACUCAGAUGCGAAAGCGUGGGGAGGCAAACAGGAUUAGAUACCCUGGUAG